Molecule: long non-coding RNA, 1016 nt
Filed under: Patiria miniata (bat star)
Lineage: Eukaryota; Metazoa; Echinodermata; Asteroidea; Valvatida; Asterinidae
Description: uncharacterized LOC119739274
Source: RNAcentral
GCCGUCAGCUGGACUGGAAAAUUCGUUCGUUUCGUUCCAGCAAUCGCGGGUCUAAAAUUUUUUAACAGUUGUACCGAAAUACACUACCAAAGAAUGAUACUACAAAAGUUCUCCACAUUUCGUCCAGCAGUUUUUUGAUAAUUUGACUCGAAAAAGCGAACUAUUUGUCCAUUGUGGACGUUCAAAAACGUACCGCGCCUACGUUAAAAAAAUCCGCCGCGUAUGACGCAUCGUACCACGUGACGUGAACUGUCCAAUUAGACACCAGAUAUGAGGUCGCAGGUCAUGACAUUUAACAAACAUGGCGGCGUCCAUUGGCAAAUGUGCGUCAACGUAAACAUCGACCCGUGCAAAAAAGAAGUGUUUGCACUCAUAAUCUGUCACGUUUGAGGGGGAAAAUGCGAAGGAUCUGAUGUCCGGUGAUAGUAAGUUCAUUUCCUGUGCCAAAGAGUGGCUGAAUUUCACAAUGACACCGCCGAAUAUACCCACGAUGUGUGGGGAGUGGAUCUGCUUUGUCCGUAUCGUACUGUACAGUACAUCAUGCACUACCGGCGCAUGUAAACAAGGCAGUCCGGCCGGCCGAUCUCACCCGUGGCGGUUUUUAUAGAUAGUAAACGUCUCGGUGCUGCAAGAAAAGGCAAACCAUACACUUCAGCUGAGACCCAGAUUUCUUCACCGAAAAAGCUCCGGACAAAGUUCAAGUUUCUUUUAAUUGCCUAUCUACAUAACUGUGUCAUGCUGCACACAAACUCAACCAGGAUUUUGAUUUCGAUGAAAACCUCAAUUCAAGGACAAGCUGCAACAGUACAACAAGCAGAACUUCCGUUGGAGGCCUAAGGGAUGAACGUCAGGAAAAGGGAGAUGUUCUGCGACUGACUGUUCAACCCCGAUCAACAACUUAGUUUCAUGAGAAUGUCCCAGCUUGCUGAACUGUUGGAAUUCUUGAAAUGAUUUAGAAGCCGAAGGAACUGGCCUUGGAUCUCUUUAUAUCGAACUAAUAAGUUGACAUAUCGGCU